This 925-nucleotide ribosomal RNA is filed under the name uncultured bacterium. Its description in RNAcentral is "bacterial SSU rRNA". It matches the Rfam family "Bacterial small subunit ribosomal RNA", at positions 33 to 940 of the family's 1533-position model. The record is from RNAcentral.
ACGCUGGCGGCGUGCCUAAUACAUGCAAGUAGAACGCUGAAGAGAGGAGCUUGCUCUUCUUGGAUGAGUUGCGAACGGGUGAGUAACGCGUAGGUAACCUGCCUUGUAGCGGGGGAUAACUAUUGGAAACGAUAGCUAAUACCGCAUAACAAUGGAUGACACAUGUUAUUUAUUUGAAAGGGGCAAUUGCUCCACUACAAGAUGGACCUGCGUUGUAUUAGCUAGUAGGUGAGGUAACGGCUCACCUAGGCGACGAUACAUAGCCGACCUGAGAGGGUGAUCGGCCACACUGGGACUGAGACACGGCCCAGACUCCUACGGGAGGCAGCAGUAGGGAAUCUUCGGCAAUGGGGGCAACCCUGACCGAGCAACGCCGCGUGAGUGAAGAAGGUUUUCGGAUCGUAAAGCUCUGUUGUAAGUCAAGAACGAGUGUGAGAGUGGAAAGUUCACAUUGUGACGGUAGCUUACCAGAAAGGGACGGCUAACUACGUGCCAGCAGCCGCGGUAAUACGUAGGUCCCGAGCGUUGUCCGGAUUUAUUGGGCGUAAAGCGAGCGCAGGCGGUUUGAUAAGUCUGAAGUUAAAGGCUGUGGCUCAACCAUAGUUCGCUUUGGAAACUGUCAAACUUGAGUGCAGAAGGGGAGAGUGGAAUUCCAUGUGUAGCGGUGAAAUGCGUAGAUAUAUGGAGGAACACCGGUGGCGAAAGCGGCUCUCUGGUCUGUAACUGACGCUGAGGCUCGAAAGCGUGGGGAGCGAACAGGAUUAGAUACCCUGGUAGUCCACGCCGUAAACGAUGAGUGCUAGGUGUUGGAUCCUUUCCGGGAUUCAGUGCCGCAGCUAACGCAUUAAGCACUCCGCCUGGGGAGUACGACCGCAAGGUUGAAACUCAAAGGAAUUGACGGGGGCCCGCACAAGCGGUGGAGCAU